RNAcentral lists this ribosomal RNA (517 nucleotides) under uncultured Planctomycetota bacterium. RNAcentral's name for it is "bacterial SSU rRNA". It matches the Rfam family "Bacterial small subunit ribosomal RNA", at positions 355 to 866 of the family's 1533-position model. The record is from RNAcentral. Lineage: Bacteria; Pseudomonadati; Planctomycetota.
UCGAGAAUCUUCGGCAAUGGGCGAAAGCCUGACCGAGCGACGCCGCGUGUGGGAUGAAGGCCUUCGGGUUGUAAACCGCUGUCAGAGGGGAGGAAUGGGCGGAGGGUAAUCUCUUCGUUUUGACCUAUCCUCAGAGGAAGUACGGGCUAAGUUCGUGCCAGCAGCCGCGGUAAGACGAACCGUACAAACGUUAUUCGGAAUCACUGGGCUUAAAGGGUGCGUAGGCGGCGCUGAAAGUUGGUGUGAAUCCCUCGGCUUAACCGAGGAACUGCGCCCAAAACUAGCAGUGCUUGAGGGAGAUAGAGGUGAGCGGAACUUAGGGUGGAGCGGUGAAAUGCGUUGAUAUCCUAAGGAACGCCAGGGGCGAAAGCGGCUCACUGGGUCUCUUCUGACGCUGAGGCACGAAAGCUAGGGUAGCGGAACGGGAUUAGAUACCCCGGUAGUCCUAGCCGUAAACGAUGAGCACUAGAUGGAAGGGUCCUCCAUAGCCUUUCCAUCGAAGCGAAAGUAAUUAGUG